Molecule: long non-coding RNA, 1526 nt
Filed under: Marmota monax (woodchuck)
Lineage: Eukaryota; Metazoa; Chordata; Mammalia; Rodentia; Sciuridae
Source: RNAcentral
GAAAACUGAGAGCAUUCAUUGAUUUGCUUAGUCAGAUGUUGGUUGAGCACCUACUAUUUGUUAAGCUUUAGGGUUUCAAAGAUGCAUCUUGGACUGGGGCUGUAGCUUGGUGGUAGAGUGCUUGCCUAGCAUGUAAGACUCUGGGUUUUAUGCUCAGACUGCACCUCUUCUGGAGGUAGGGGUGGGAGAGAGUAAAUUCUGGGAAAAGCACUCUUUCAUCUUCCACUUCCUGAAUUUACCUUUUCCUGGGCUUACCUUUUCAGCCUUGCUACUUCCUCUUGAAAAAUUUUUCCUUGAUUAUAUCCUUAUAUCCUCCGCCAUUGCCUGUUGAGCCUCAUGAAUUGCAUAGAUUGUGUCAGAUAUGUAAUUAAUCUCCCAGAGACAGGAAUUGGACCUUUAUCUGUACUCAUAUCAUGGCUAAUCAUCAGCCAAAAUUACUGGUGGCUCAUCGAGAUUUCUAAAUUCUUUAUCCUCAGUCAUCUAGUCUUACAACUGAGUUUCUUUACAAGGACAUGUGAGACCUAAUGAAAUUCUCCACCUCCAACACUGCAGAACAGGUCGCGUUUUCUUCCUCAAACAUGGCGAACCUGGAGGGAGCUGACUCCCAGGGAGGAGGAGACGGUGAGCCCAGGGGAGGAGACUGUGGAGGCCCUGCUGGGACUGGUGCGUAGUCCCCACUCACCCUGGGCUCUGGUGGAGGACUCCAGUGCUGAGGACCAUUUUCUGAGAGAAUUGGCCAUCCAGAAUCCACUGAUGCUCAAAGACACCUUCUUGUACUCCUAUUUCCGGUCGCUGAGGAUGGUGGACAAGCAGGUGGGUGCUGCAAAUGAGCACCAGAUUGUAGGGGGAUCUCCUGUGAGAGCUGAUCCCAAGGUCAGCCCUGACUUCUCAUUGAGCUCACCAGCUUGUACAACAAACAGGCCGGUAUUCAGCCAUGCUUUGUUGAAAGUCUUCCUCCUUCACCCUUGGAGGGAGUCCAUGUGCCUCUUCUACAGCCAAUUCUUAGCAUGCCCUGCACUCGGCCCUCCUGGGUCCUAGUAAAGACCUUUCAAAGGACCCAUAUUGCUUUGGUUUGGUUUGGUUUGGUUCUAGGAAUUGAACCCAGAGGGCUGAGCCACAUCCCCAGCCCUUUUUACUUUUUACCUUUAGACAGGGUCUUGCUAACUUGCUUAGGGCCUUGCUAAAUUGCUGAGGCUGGCUUUGAACUCCUGAUCCUCCUGCCUCAGCCUCCCAAGUUGCUGGGAUUACAGGUGUUGUAUGCCACUGUGCCUGGGCCAUAUAUAUAUAUUUUUUACUUUAUUUAAACUGUGGGGGGCUGGGAUGUAGCUCAGUGGCAAAGUGUCUGCCUUGUAUUUGCAAAGCCCUGGGUUCAACCUCCAGUUCCAAAAAAGCCAAAAAAAAAAAAAUAAUAAAACCCACCAUAAAUAAAUAAAUAAAACCCUUUAAACUGUGGGAAUCGGGUUGGGGGUGGGGCUGGAGAACAUUGGCAUAGUGUUGACUUAUUUUAUUUCUGUUACUAAAAAAAU